This 274-nucleotide ribosomal RNA is filed under the name uncultured bacterium. Its description in RNAcentral is "partial 16S ribosomal RNA". It matches the Rfam family "Bacterial small subunit ribosomal RNA", at positions 523 to 796 of the family's 1533-position model. The record is from RNAcentral.
AUACGGAGGGUCCAAGCGUUAUCCGGAAUCAUUGGGUUUAAAGGGUCCGCAGGCGGCCAAUUAAGGCAGAGGUGAAAUCCCACAGCUCAACUGUGGAACUGCCUUUGAUACUGGUUGUCUUGAAUUAUAGUGAAGUAGAUAGAAUAUGUAGUGUAGCGGUGAAAUGCUUAGAUAUUACAUAGAAUACCGAUUGCGAAGGCAGUCUACUAACUGUAUAUUGACGCUGAUGGACGAAAGCGUGGGGAGCGAACAGGAUUAGAAACCCUAGUAGUCC